This 252-nucleotide ribosomal RNA is filed under the name uncultured bacterium. Its description in RNAcentral is "partial 16S ribosomal RNA". It matches the Rfam family "Bacterial small subunit ribosomal RNA", at positions 524 to 776 of the family's 1533-position model. The record is from RNAcentral.
UACGAAAGGUGCAGGUGUUAUUCAGAUUAACUGGGCGUAAAGGGCACGUAGGUGGUUUGUUAUGUGUACUAUAAAAUUAUAAAGCAUAACUUUAUACUGUAGUAUAGACAACUAAACUAGAGUUAGGUAGAGGGUAGUAGAAUUUCUAAUGUAAAGGUGAAAUUUGAUAAAUUUAGAGAGAAUACCAAUGGCGGAGGCAACCACCUGGGCCUUAGCUGACACUGAGGUGCGAAGGUAUGGGGAGCAAAUAGG